UCCCUUGUUGUGGUAACUAACUUUGCUUAUUUACAGAUUAACCUUUACAACUUAUUCUAGUUAAAUUUGACCUUGUUUGACAUUUGUCAUCAGUAAAAAACCCCUAAAUGUCAUUCUUUUAUCCUGACAUUUGGUGUCUUUUCCUUCUGAGUGACCAAAAAUAUAAACAAUUUGAAAUACAAAUACAAAUUUUUCUAUCUAUUCAGAUACAAAAAUUUGACCCACCAGUGUGGGAAGACCUCAACACUGCCAUGAGAAAUGAACUCAAAGAACUUUCGUCCUAUAAUUCUCAUUCACCAAAAUACGUCUUUCUAUCCAUAACCUAACAUUCAUAUACUCAGAAGACAGAGUUCAGAAUCUUGUUCAAGAAUGCUUUAAUGUCCAGACCAGAGAAGCCAGUGAUCGAACCACCGACCUUCUGAUGGGUAGAUAACCUGCUCUACCUCCUGAGGCAGAGCCGCCCAAACAUGAGAACAGUCUGCGUUCUCAAAUCUCUGAGCACAGUUUCCUGCAGGGACAGACACACGCUGGUCUUUGAAGGAUAAUGAGGGAAUCUCCAUCCCAUCAUCUUCCACUCAUCUAAUUCUGGGUUGCAGUGGGGCUGGAGCCUAUCCCAGCUGUCACAGUACACCCUGGACAGGUCACUAAUCAGUCGCAGGGCCUUAGUUAAAGCGCGACUUGUAGUUAAAUGCUCUUUGAGUGGUAUGACUAAAAAAAGGACUACAUGAAUAUGAGUACAUUACAAUUGCACCUACAAUGUAACAAAAUAAAAACAAAUUAGAAUAGCUCUGAAUGCACAUAAUAGCUUGGAAUAAGUAAGAUUUGUGUUCUAAGUGUUAAUUAAUUAUUUAUUAUUUUUAAAGAUAUAGCAGAGUGGACAGUGUUUAAUGCCUGUAAUGGUUAUACAUGAUUAUAUAUGAUAAAUCCCAACAGUUCUAGUUCUACAUUCAAUACAAUAUAAUUCAGUCAUUAUAGCUUUUUGUUUUCAUGUCUUGGGUAACACAGAAGAAAAACAAGAGUUGUACAUGUCAGGGGUUGUGUAGCGGGGACGAUCUGAUAUCGUCGUGUUGGCGUUGUUCCCACAUCAUCAUAAUUAAUGUUCUUCCAGGGUCCACAUUACAAGUAACCAAUCACCUUCUUGUGACGUCAUACUUUUGCGACUUCGCCUUAAAAAAACAAAUGUUCUUCGAGAAACCGCCUUUUGUCCGCUGAUCCAGCAAUUUCAAUUCCUCUCAAGAUACUUUUCUUUAAUAAACGAAAUAGACGAUAUAAUUAGAAGAAGUGUCCUGAAUGACGAAAAAAAAAGAACUGGAAAAGAUACACAACUUUGUGUGCAUGUGUCACAAUGCCAGGAGGACCCAUUCAGUGUUGUGUUAGAAAAAUUGAACUCAUUAACCCUUCAUGGACAUUAUAAAUGUUUAAAUGUGGCCUCAGGUAAAGACAGGAAAAGAGACUAUUACAAAUUCAACUGCAUCAGAGCUGGAAAAAAAAGUCGAAACAGCUACAGAGCAGUGGGCUGUAAGGCCUAUGUUUCAUUUAAAGUACUCAAAUGUUGGAAAGACCACACAGUCAUCGUGCAGCUUACAUAUGAUAAGCAUGAUGGGCAUGAUCCUUCGGACCCAAAAGACGCACAUUUCAACAAUAUUUCCAGUGAUUUGAGGAGGAAGAUUGAGGAACUGCUUUCCCUUGGAACUAAGCCAGCCAUCAUACUAACCGAAUGUCAUAAAUGGGCCAAAGAACAUGGACACAGAGAUCUUCACAACAGAGAGCAUUUUGUCACACCACAUGACAUUGACAGUGUUAGAACCUGCAUGAUGAGGAAGAAGCACUUUAACUGUAGAGACAGUCAAAGUGUACAUACCUUACUUAAUGGAAAACAUCAAGAACAUGUUCUCUUCUAUCAACCAUACACAUCUGAUCAAGAACUAAUGAUUGUUUUGCAGACACCUGUAAUGAAAUCAAACAUGGAGAACUAUGCAAAACAGUUAGUAUUUGUUGACACCACGCAUUGUGUUAACCAGUAUUCAUUUCCCUUAUUCACACUUGUUGUAAGAGAUGAUCAUGGGCGUGGAGUCCCUGUGGCCUAUGCUAUUGUCAGCAACGAAAGUCAGAAAACCCUGGAAAUCGUUCUUGGAAUAGUUUGUGAGCAUUUACCAACUUCCCCGAGAGCAUUUAUGGUUGACAAAGACUUUGCGGAAAUAAAUGCUUUGCAGAAGGUUUUUCCAGAGUCAGCUAUCCUUCUAUGCUGGUGCCAUGUCUUGCAGGCUGCUAAUCGAUGGCUUUCAAAAUCUGAGUCUGGGGUCCAUGGGCUUUCUAACACCCAAAAGAGAAAUGAAAUCAUUUCUUUCUUUUGUAAGCUGAAAGCUUGCACAUCUUGUGGUAUGUUGGAGCAGCGGUUUAUCGGCAGCUGAGAGGAAGAGGUUGGAUAAAC
Molecule: RNA transcript, 2431 nt
Organism: Oreochromis aureus
Lineage: Eukaryota; Metazoa; Chordata; Actinopteri; Cichliformes; Cichlidae
Gene: f2r
Gene name: coagulation factor II (thrombin) receptor
Exons: 5
Source: RefSeq, a predicted model, not a curated record